GAUGAACGCUGGCGGCGUGCCUAAUACAUGCAAGUAGAACGCUGAAGGAAGGAGCUUGCUCUUUCCGCGUGAGUUGCGAACGGGUGAGUAACGCGUAGGUAACCUCCCUGUUAGCGGGGGAUAACUAUUGGAAACGAUAGCUAAUACCGCAUAACAUUAUAUGUUGCAUGAUAUCUUCUUAAAAGUUGCAAUUGCACCACUACCAGAUGGACCUGCGUCGUAUUAGGUAGUUGGUGAGGUAACGGCUCUCCAAGGCGACGGAACCUAGCCGACCUGAGAGGGUGGUCAGCCAAACUGGGAAGGGGACAGGGCCCAGAGGGACUAGGGAAGGAGCAAGAGGGAAACGUGAGGAAGGGGCGGAAAGCAGAGCGAGAAACGCCGAGUGAGGGAAGAAGGAUGUCGGGUGGGAAAGCACUGUUGUAAGGGAAGAAAGAGUGUGAGAGUGGAAAGUGCACAGAGUGACGGUAACUGAUCAGAAAGGAACGGCUAACUACGUG
This 497-nucleotide ribosomal RNA is filed under the name uncultured bacterium. RNAcentral's name for it is "partial 16S ribosomal RNA". It matches the Rfam family "Bacterial small subunit ribosomal RNA", at positions 28 to 507 of the family's 1533-position model. The record is from RNAcentral.